GAUGAACGCUGGCGGCGUGCCUAAUACAUGCAAGUCGAGCGAACAGACGAGGAGCUUGCUCCUCUGACGUUAGCGGCGGACGGGUGAGUAACACGUGGAUAACCUACCUAUAAGACUGGGAUAACUUCGGGAAACCGGAGCUAAUACCGGAUAAUAUAUUGAACCGCAUGGUUCAAUAGUGAAAGACGGUUUUGCUGGCACUUAUAGAUGGAUCCGCGCCGCAUUAGCUAGUUGGUAAGGUAACGGCUUACCAAGGCAACGAUGCGUAGCCGACCUGAGAGAGUGAUCGGCCACACUGGAACUGAGACACGGUCCAGACUCCUACGGGAGGCAGCAGUAGGGAAUCUUCCGCAAUGGGCGAAAGCCUGACGGAGCAACGCCGCGUGAGUGAUGAAGGUCUUCGGAUCGUAAAACUCUGUUAUUAGGGAAGAACAAAUGUGUAAGUAACUAUGCACGUCUUGACGGUACCUAAUCAGAAAGCCACGGCUAACUACGUG
This 497-nucleotide ribosomal RNA is filed under the name uncultured bacterium. RNAcentral's name for it is "partial 16S ribosomal RNA". It matches the Rfam family "Bacterial small subunit ribosomal RNA", at positions 28 to 507 of the family's 1533-position model. The record is from RNAcentral.